UACGAAGGUGGCAAGCGUUGUUCGGAUUUACUGGGCGUACAGGGAGCGUAGGCGGUUGGAUAAGCCCUCCGUGAAAUCUCCAGGCUUAACCUGGAAAGUGCAGAGGGGACUGUUCAGCUAGAGGAUGGGAGAGGAGCGCGGAAUUCCCGGUGUAGCGGUGAAAUGCGUAGAGAUCGGGAGGAACACCGGUGGCGAAGGCGGCGACCUGGGUGGAUACUGACGCUGAGGCGCGAAAGCGUGGGGAGCAAACAGG
Molecule: ribosomal RNA, 253 nt
Filed under: uncultured bacterium
Lineage: Bacteria
Description: partial 16S ribosomal RNA
Rfam family: Bacterial small subunit ribosomal RNA
Source: RNAcentral